RNAcentral lists this ribosomal RNA (395 nucleotides) under uncultured bacterium. Its description in RNAcentral is "bacterial SSU rRNA". It matches the Rfam family "Bacterial small subunit ribosomal RNA", at positions 29 to 408 of the family's 1533-position model. The record is from RNAcentral.
AACGAACGCUGGCGGCGUGCCUCAUACAUGCAAGUCGUACGCGAAUCCUGCCGCAAGGCAGGGUUUGAGUGGCAAACGGGUGCGUAACACGUAGGUAAUCUUCCUUUGAGUUGGGGAUAAACCCUCGAAAGGGGUCUAAUACCGAAUAACACUUCUGGUUGGCAUCAACCGGAAAUUAAAGAUGGCCUCUGCUUGCAAGCUAUCGCUCGGAGAUGAGCCUGCGGCCGAUAGUUAGUUGGCGGGAUAAAAGCCCACCAAGACUUCGAUCGGUAGCCGGUCUGAGAGGAUGUCCGGCCACACUGGGACUGAGAUACGGCCCAGACUCCUACGGGAGGCAGCAGUAGGGAAUAUUGCGCAAUGGCCGCAAGGCUGACGCAGCAACGCCGCGUGGGGGA